RNAcentral lists this ribosomal RNA (459 nucleotides) under uncultured bacterium. RNAcentral describes it as "partial 16S ribosomal RNA". It matches the Rfam family "Bacterial small subunit ribosomal RNA", at positions 338 to 795 of the family's 1533-position model. The record is from RNAcentral.
CCUACGGGAGGCAGCAGUGAGGAAUAUUGGUCAAUGGACGAGAGUCUGAACCAGCCAAGUCGCGUGAAGGACGAAGGUGCCAAGCAUUGUAAACUUCUUUUGUCAAGGGACAAAAUCAGGCUCGAGAGCCUGACCGAGGGUACUUGAAGAAAAAGCAUCGGCUAACUCCGUGCCAGCAGCCGCGGUAAUACGGAGGAUGCGAGCGUUAUCCGGAUUUAUUGGGUUUAAAGGGUUCGUAGGCGGACUGUUAAGUCAGCGGUAAAAGCCCGGGGCUAACACCCGGCGAGCCGUUGAAACUGGCUGUCUUGAGAUGUCGAGAGGUAUGCGGAAUGCGCAGUGUAGCGGUGAAAUGCUUAGAUAUUGCGCAGAACUCCGAUUGCGAAGGCAGCAUACCGGCGGCGAUCUGACGCUGAGGCACGAAAGCGUGGGUAUCGAACAGGAUUAGAUACCCGGGUAGUC